This 398-nucleotide unclassified non-coding RNA is filed under the name Bombus terrestris (buff-tailed bumblebee). RNAcentral's name for it is "misc RNA ENSBTSG00005027538.1". The record is from RNAcentral. Lineage: Eukaryota; Metazoa; Arthropoda; Insecta; Hymenoptera; Apidae.
CAACAACCUCUCCAAUCACCGGCUCAUCACCAAUCAUCACCGGCACGGGGGAAAAAAUACAGCACUGACAAGUCCGUAGAAAGCGCGCGAUAGAAGAGUUGCGCAAAGAGGAUGCCGGUAUAUUCAGUAGGCGCGUAAAGAGCAGCUACAUACGUCGUGUUUCACCCGACGAACGAGGUCUCGAAAGAGAAUCACCGACUUCCGUUUCAUCGGACACCCUGUAUGAGACGACAGAGCGAAAGACAGCCGCAGAGGAGCAGCUAGGCGCGAGAAGGAGUGACGGAGGGAGACAGAAAGGGAGAGACUCGGCAGGUGAGACUCGUGGUCGUGAGUAGUGGAAAUCGAAGAAGAUGUUUCAGGAACGAUCGAAUGUUUCUACUUUGUUCUGCUCUGGUUUA